This 24-nucleotide non-coding RNA is filed under the name Arabidopsis thaliana (thale cress). The record is from RNAcentral. Lineage: Eukaryota; Viridiplantae; Streptophyta; Magnoliopsida; Brassicales; Brassicaceae.
AUAACUAGAUUAUAUGACCCGUGC